AACGAACGCUAGCGGCAGGCCUAACACAUGCAAGUCGAGCGAGCAUUUCGGUGCUAGCGGCGGACGGGUGAGUAACGCGUGGGAACGUGCCCUUUUCUGCGGAAUAGUCCUGGGAAACUGGGGGUAAUACCGCAUACGCCCUUUUGGGGAAAGAUUUAUCGGAGAAGGAUCGGCCCGCGUUGGAUUAGGUAGUUGGUGGGGUAAUGGCCCACCAAGCCGACGAUCCAUAGCUGGUUUGAGAGGAUGAUCAGCCACACUGGGACUGAGACACGGCCCAGACUCCUACGGGAGGCAGCAGUGGGGAAUCUUAGACAAUGGGGGCAACCCUGAUCUAGCCAUGCCGCGUGAGUGAUGAAGGCCUUAGGGUUGUAAAGCUCUUUCAGCUGGGAAGAUAAUGACGGUACCAGCAGAAGAAGCCCCGGCUAACUCCGUG
This 433-nucleotide ribosomal RNA is filed under the name uncultured bacterium. RNAcentral's name for it is "partial 16S ribosomal RNA". It matches the Rfam family "Bacterial small subunit ribosomal RNA", at positions 29 to 507 of the family's 1533-position model. The record is from RNAcentral.